UGUGGUGGUGAAGGACUUGGACAU
This 24-nucleotide unclassified non-coding RNA is filed under the name Mus musculus (house mouse). RNAcentral's name for it is "oocyte_clustered_small_RNA11812". The record is from RNAcentral. Lineage: Eukaryota; Metazoa; Chordata; Mammalia; Rodentia; Muridae.